AUACGUAGGUGACAAGCGUUAUCCGGAUUUACUGGGCGUAAAGGGCGCGUAGGCGGCCCGGUAAGUCUGGAGUGAAAGUCCUGUUUUUAAGAUGGGAAUUGCUUUGGAUACUGUCGGGCUUGAGUGCAGGAGAGGUAAGUGGAAUUCCCAGUGUAGCGGUGAAAUGCGUAGAGAUUGGGAGGAACACCAGUGGCGAAGGCGGGUAACUGGACUGCAACUGACGCUGAGGCGCGAAAGUGUGGGGAGCAAACAGGAUUAGAUACCCUGGUAGUCCACACUGUAAACGAUGAAUGCUAGGUGUAAGAGGUAUCGACCCCUUUUGUGCCGGAGUCAACACAAUAAGCAUUCCGCCUGGGGAGUACGGCCGCAAGGUUGAAACUCAAAGGAAUUGGCGGGG
Molecule: ribosomal RNA, 397 nt
Filed under: uncultured bacterium
Lineage: Bacteria
Description: partial 16S ribosomal RNA
Rfam family: Bacterial small subunit ribosomal RNA
Source: RNAcentral